UACGUAGGGUGCGAGCGUUAAUCGGAAUUACUGGGCGUAAAGCGUGCGCAGGCGGUCCGUUGUGUCCGAUGUGAAAGCCCCGGGCUUAACCUGGGAAUGGCAUGGGAAACUGGCGGGCUGGAGUGUGGCAGAGGGGGGUGGAAUUCCGCGUGUAGCAGUGAAAUGCGUAGAGAUGUGGAGGAACACCGAUGGCGAAGGCAGCCUCCUGGGCCAACACUGACGCUCAUGCACGAAAGCGUGGGGAGCAAACAGG
This 253-nucleotide ribosomal RNA is filed under the name uncultured bacterium. Its description in RNAcentral is "partial 16S ribosomal RNA". It matches the Rfam family "Bacterial small subunit ribosomal RNA", at positions 524 to 776 of the family's 1533-position model. The record is from RNAcentral.